RNAcentral lists this transfer RNA (73 nucleotides) under Trichonephila clavata. It matches the Rfam family "tRNA". From Rfam's summary of the family: Transfer RNA (tRNA) molecules are approximately 80 nucleotides in length. Their secondary structure includes four short double-helical elements and three loops (D, anti-codon, and T loops). Lineage: Eukaryota; Metazoa; Arthropoda; Arachnida; Araneae; Nephilidae. The record is from Rfam by way of RNAcentral.
GUCCCAGUAGCACAAUGGAUAGCGCAUUAGACUUCUAAUCCUAAGGUCGUGGGUUCGAAUCCCACCUGGGAUU